RNAcentral lists this ribosomal RNA (97 nucleotides) under uncultured bacterium. Its description in RNAcentral is "partial 16S ribosomal RNA". It matches the Rfam family "Bacterial small subunit ribosomal RNA", at positions 1386 to 1482 of the family's 1533-position model. The record is from RNAcentral.
CACACCGCCCGUCACACCAUGGGAGUGGGCUGCACCAGAAGUAGGUUGCUUAACCUUAGGGAGAGCGCUUACCACGGUGUGGUUCAUGACUGGGGUG